CUUAAUCCAUCUGAUGUCCUCAAGCUUUUGCACUCUCUUCUAACCAUAAUUGAUUCAAGGGGAGCAAUCUUGGCAUGUGCCCUCCCUUGGCUAAAACGUUUACUUCUUCAACAUGCAAGUGGAAUAAUGUCCCAGGAUUCUUCUUUGCUUGCCCUGAACUCUUUAUAUCAGCUAAUUGAAUCCAGAAUCUCAACUUUCCAAUCAGCUAUUCAGCUGUCAAGUUGCUUAGACUUGCUCUAUGCAGGGGUGGUUGAUGAUGCAUCAGAAGAAAAUGAAACAGUAAUUCCAGUAAUUUAUGAAGACAAGGAUGAAAGUGAUGAACAAGAAUCUGAUGA
Molecule: unclassified non-coding RNA, 335 nt
Filed under: Hevea brasiliensis (rubber tree)
Lineage: Eukaryota; Viridiplantae; Streptophyta; Magnoliopsida; Malpighiales; Euphorbiaceae
Source: RNAcentral